RNAcentral lists this ribosomal RNA (253 nucleotides) under uncultured bacterium. Its description in RNAcentral is "partial 16S ribosomal RNA". It matches the Rfam family "Bacterial small subunit ribosomal RNA", at positions 524 to 776 of the family's 1533-position model. The record is from RNAcentral.
UACGAAGGUCCCAAGCGUUAUCCGGAUUUAUUGGGUUUAAAGGGUGCGUAGGCGGGUUAUUAAGUCAGUGGUGAAAGCUCCAUGCCUAACAUGGAAAUUGCCAUUGAUACUGAUGAUCUUGAGUACAUUUGAAGUGGGCGGAAUGUGUCAUGUAGUGGUGAAAUACUUAGAUAUGACACAGAACACCGAUUGCGUAGGCAGCUCGCUAAACUGUAACUGACGCUGAGGCACGAAAGCGUGGGGAGCAAACAGG